This 450-nucleotide ribosomal RNA is filed under the name uncultured bacterium. RNAcentral describes it as "partial 16S ribosomal RNA". It matches the Rfam family "Bacterial small subunit ribosomal RNA", at positions 354 to 796 of the family's 1533-position model. The record is from RNAcentral.
GUGGGGAAUAUUGGACAAUGGGCGAAAGCCUGAUCCAGCCAUGCCGCGUGUGUGAAGAAGGUCUUCGGAUUGUAAAGCACUUUAAGUUGGGAGGAAGGGCAGUAAGUUAAUACCUUGCUGUUUUGACGUUACCGACAGAAUAAGCACCGGCUAACUUCGUGCCAGUAGCCGCGGUAAUACGAAGGGUGCAAGCGUUAAUCGGAAUUACUGGGCGUAAAGCGCGCGUAGGUGGUUUUGUAAGUUGGAGGUGAAAUCCCCGGGCUCAACCUGGGAACUGCCUCCAAAACUGCAUGACUAGAGUACGGUAGAGGGUGGUGGAAUUUCCUGUGUAGCGGUGAAAUGCGUAGAUAUAGGAAGGAACACCAGUGGCGAAGGCGACCACCUGGACUGAUACUGACACUGAGGUGCGAAAGCGUGGGGAGCAAACAGGAUUAGAUACCCUAGUAGUCC